AGGCGGUAGCCUAGUGGUUAGAGCACCUCGAUCAUAACGAGUGGGCGUUGGUUCGAAUCCUGGUUCUA
RNAcentral lists this transfer RNA (68 nucleotides) under Hordeum vulgare. RNAcentral's name for it is "tRNA-OTHER". The record is from RNAcentral. Lineage: Eukaryota; Viridiplantae; Streptophyta; Magnoliopsida; Poales; Poaceae.